Passer domesticus (house sparrow) is the source of this 5154-nucleotide long non-coding RNA. RefSeq lists it as uncharacterized. Lineage: Eukaryota; Metazoa; Chordata; Aves; Passeriformes; Passeridae. The transcript has 3 exons. The record is from RefSeq and is a predicted model, not a curated record.
CAGCAGUGCUCUGGCCAGCGCCCGGCAGGGAUCCCUCCCUGCAGGGAUCACCAUCUGCAAGGCCCGGGGGACAUCCUAACUCUUUCAGUGCCCAAUAAGGCUUGCAGACCUUCAAUCUUCCCUUGAAUGAGAGAAAAGGACAGAGUGAGGACACGCAGAGAAACAACAGGAAAACACUAAGAUUUACCAGGUUGGCUCUGCCAAAGGUAACAAUGAGAUGGUGCAAAAAGCUGUUCUACUAUCAGAGCCAGCAUCUUUUAUCUCGUAAAAGAUAAAAAGAACCAACUUUUGUCUCACUACAUGCAAUAAAGAGGUGAACUGCUUGGGAAGAUCAUCAAAGCUGUUACAGAAUGCAGCCAACUUUAUCAGAUGGGUGCACUUAGAAAUCUCUAUGAUGCCAGAUACCUCUGGAAAAAAAUUCCUGAAGCCUGCAGUAACUACAGCCCGAACAGGUGGGCACUCUGCUCUAACAGCACAGAGACUGCACUGGCACAUCUUAUGGGCUGAGGCUGCACAAGGGCUGCAAACUAUCACCUCUAACCAUCUCAACAACACAAACCAGAGCAUUUACCUAUGGCUUCCCUCAGGAAAUUUACAGCUACAAGUGAAAUCAGAUCCAUCCCGCACAAAGGCAGCUAAUCCUGAACUAAACAUUGACACUGUGCCUUAUGGUUCCCCUGGUAAAUUGCUCUAACCCUUAAUGUCCUAUUAAGAAAAGGCUCAAUUUCACUUUGGAUAAACAUGGCUUUCAGAUGUGUGGAAACAACUCAGAAAAACAUACCAUAAAACAAUUCAGACUGAUAGUAAUGAAAACAAAAUCCUGUCAUAUCUAAAUUGCAGAGCACACUAUAGACCCCAUAUGCCUUUGUCCUGCUGGGGAACCACAUCAAGGUACGAGAUUUACGACUAAGCACAGAUCUAAUGUGAGCUUUGUUCUAUCUGGAACCGUCCCAAAGCCAUGAUCCACUUGCAUGGUUCAGACUGUGUACUCCCAAUCUAGCCCAGCAAACUUCAAGACAUACAUUAUCACACAAGUAAAAUUGAGAUCUUAAACCCUCUUCUCCUGUAGAAAGAAGAAAAAAAAAUCAAAAAAAGAAAGAAAACUUCACACUGGGACAUACUUGGACUCACCAACAGGAGACCAGCUUGAAAAUGUCACUUUCUUAGGCUUCAUGAGGUUUAUUAGCUUUUCUACUUCACUCCAACUAUCAUUCAUGGCGUAAAUUUAUUUGAAUUUGCCUCAAGAAACAAUGAGAGCAAAACUCAUCAGAAGACCCUGUUUCACCACUGCUUCCUGAUCUAAAAUAAGGUUAACAUUUGUUACUGGCUAAUUAAAUGCAGCCUUAUUCUACCUUAUUAUAGCAUAUUAGGGUGUUCAAAUUCCAGUAUUACUUUUUCCCCAUUUGUAUUCCUGCACACAAAUAUCACAGUGCAGGUUACCAGAAAGCUGCCACUACACCUACUCUCUGCUGGGGCAUUUCACUAGGAGCUAAAUUACCAGUUUUCAAAUAAAACCUUGGACUUGUGAGGAGAACCUAGAUGAGGACAGCAUGUGCUAUUAUUAGCUUCACAGCAGUAAUAGCCAUAUGUCCUCAUCAAGUACAGGAUACAUCAUACUCUAUACAUUCCAUCAAAUGAAAGCCAGUCUGAAGUUUAGCAGCACAGUGAUUGCAAAAAUUGAAAGAAGCUUGAGGACACAGCAAAAUAAUGACAGUAAUAAGAUCCUACCUUCUACUAACUUCUGAACAGCUACAUCAAAAUACAGGUAAAUUAAAAGGGAAUCUGAGGCGUGCACAGGACAUGAAGCUUUCAGGGACAUACUCCUGUGCACAAUGGGCUAAAACAGAGUGUGUGGGAGGGGCAGAAAAACAAAACACCAAGACCACGACAGGCCCACAAACCCACACCUGGACACUGUUCACACUCAGCUCAAGACUGGCACAGUUACUCCUUUAUUGCAGAAGUAACAAUUUGGGGACAGCAGAUAUCCAUCCUGCCACCGGAGGCAAGGAAGCAGUGUUCAGUGAGAUGGUGCCUUGAGGGAAGGAUAAAUCAUCCAGCCCAAGGUCAGGCAAAAAGAAACAACCCAAGAGUAAAAAGUACAUAGGCAGGGUUGGAUGAACAUUACAAGACAAUACUUUUACAGUCUUUCAAUUUAAAAAAAAAAAAAAAAAAAAAAAACCAACAAGGAAUGAAGCAAUGGCAAAUGUCUGUUACGGCAGUGACUAUAGCAGAAGAAAACUAGAAAUUUCUUAGAAAUUAAAUAUAAGGAUAUUCUGAAUACCAAAAACUGUUAGCCCCUCUAACCAAAACAAGAAAAAUACCUUUCAAUUAAUAGCUUGGGUUUUGUUUGGCGAUUAUCUUUCUUUUCAGAUGAACAGGGGCUGGCCACUCAGCUUUACAGUCACUUGCACAUCCAGCAGACUAAUUUACAACAAAAUUAGGUGGGCAAAUACAUCAACUUGACAAGUAACAGCAGAGCAAAUUUCAGUCAAACAUUUUUCAAAUAUCCUUGAGAAUUUACCUCCAAGAACAGAAGGGUCAGUUCUGCCCUAGUGUAAGCUACUACAGCAAAGCUGAAAGAGCUCCCCCUAGGACAAACCCCCUUUAGAACUUCACCAGAGUUCUGCUAAAGAAAGGUGAAACUUUGUAGCUCCAUCUUUUAUUGCUAAAAGAAGUAUAACAGGAUGGUCAUAUUCAAGGUGAACAGCAUCAAUGCGUCAUUUGAGUCUAUCAUUUUUAGAGAUCAGAAUUCAUGCCUUUGUUUAAAAUCAAAACGAUUCUGUGCAUCUUACACUGACCCCAAUUAAUUUAUGUAAUGUGACCAGUUUCUGAACAGGAUUAAUUGAGGUAUGUACAUGGAUAACACAACAAAACACAGAAAACUGGUUUCUGAGCUUUUAGAAAGUGGAUUUUUUCCAAGCUGUUAGUAAACUAAGUACCUCAUGCUACAUCACAAAAGAAAUUGUACUGCUUGGGACUGUAGGGAAGAAAACUCAUGUCCAGCUGGUUUUGAUAGAAGAGAACCUGAGGUUUUUCUUCCUUCUUUCAAAAAUGAUCACCUGAACAUCUAAAAUCCAGUCCUGCAGCUGGGGUGGAGUAACACACUCAUCACAACACAGUCUGGGAAGCAGCUGGCUGGGGGGCAGCGCUGCUGGAAAAGGACCUGACACCCUGCUCCGUGUCAGCAGCAUUCCCCAAUGAAAGCUGACAGCACAGCGAGCUCCAAGGGCACAGCCACAGUGCAGAGGACGAGGGGACACUUGCUGCAUCACAUCUAGAAAACCAUGUCCAGUUUGGGGCUCUCUGAUACAACAGAGACAACAAUAAGUAAGGCAAAUUCAGCAGAAAGGCCACCUACAAGGUUAUGGGCUGGUAUGGGCUGGAGCUCUUACCCUGCCAGGAGGGAGAGAGAUGUGAGCUUUUGCAGCCUGAGGAAAAGGCAGCUUCAGAGGGCCCCAAGAGCAGCCCUUGAACACACAGGAAAUGACAAAACCAGCACAGACAGGCUCUUCACAGCCAUGCAUGGUAGAAGGGUAUUCUGACAGCAAUCUGACAGAGGGAGGAGCUGAUGAGAGAUGGCACAGGAGCAAUUUCACACCAAGGUUAGUCAAGCUGUGGAACAAGUUGCCCAAACAGUUUGUGCACUCUCUGCCCUUGGACUUUCAACACUUGAGCAGUCAAAGUUUAGAGAAAGGUCAGAGUUCAGUUUGAAACUGAGCAUUGAAACAAACAGCUAUGAGCAAAAAGGUGUAGACAUCCUAAGGUCCCUUCCAACCUGAACUACUGUUGUUCUGAAAUGCAGUUACAGAGUAACUCUGUGACAAAUACUGACAUCAACUCCUUCUGGGGCAAGAGUGACACUCAUCCCCAGGGUAAUCUAGGAAAGGUAACAGAAACGUAAACAAUGCAAGGAACACCAUGACAAGGUUUGCUAGGUCACUACUAGGAUGCAAUGGUUGUACUAAAGAAACCACAGGAACAUGCUGGCACUCUGCUAUUUUUGCUCGUUUAACACAAAAUCGUGGGGAAUUUCUUUCAAGCUGUGCCUUGCAUUUCUCUUAACACAGUGGGGGAGCUUAAAUAUCCAGAUACACCCAAGCUCUGAAAGAAAGAAUAUCUAUUUACUAUUAAGUCAAAAAAACAAACUUGGAAGCAAAAACCCCCACUAUAAUGGUAAAAAGGUGCAAGGAUAUAUGGCACUGUUGCUUUGGCAUCUGGCCUAUUAAGCAAUUGCAGUAACACAGAUAUGAAAAACCCAUAACAAUUUAGAGCUUUGAAAGCUGAAUAUCUUGUAUACAAUAUAUUUAAUAAUAAAAUGCAUUUCAGUCAAUAUAAAUAAAUAAAAUUGAGGUCAUGUUGAUAAAAGCUCUAGACAAUACAGACACAGUCUAUCCAAGGGCUAAGUGCAUUCCAAGAAUAAAUAAAUUACUGGCUAUAUUUGUUAAUAAAACUGACUUGAAUUGUUUAGUAAAUUCAAAAACCCCAGCUGAAAGUAGAUGCAGAGUAAAGGGAGAUUAUUUAAUCAUUAUAUCAAAAGUGACAUGUGAAGAUAAAGCAAGAUUGUACUUCCACAAGAAGCUUUCAUCCAUUUCUGAACACUGGACAAUUUCCAUCCACAGCCCACUCCUCUCCUCACAACAUCCCGGAAAAUGCCACCUCAGCAGCAUUAUCUAGUCCUGAUAGUUAUGGGGAGGUUACAAUAUAAAGAUGUAUUCUGUUCCCAUCCUCAGGAGCUGCUGAAAGCAGGAGGGGCAUUGUUUCUUCCUUAUCUCCUGUUAAUGGGCCCAUCAAUGUCUUGCCACAUGACUCAGAGAUAACUCCCUCCCAGAGCCAUUUCUGUUUAAUGGCUAAUCAAGGACCCACAGCAUGAGGCAGAAUGAUAUCAGCCCACUGUGAGACGCUCUGCCCAUGGGGGAGGAGCUAAGCAUCCCCACCUGGAUAUAAUCUGGGUUUUGGGACACAAUAAGCAGUCUUUCCACGGGAUUCCCAGACGAAUAGCCACUCUUACCCACUAGUUUUCCAGAGGACAAGAGCUACCAGAUUGUUUCUACAGGAUCACCCCUUCAACAAGACUGUUUCAUCUGGACUGCUACCACCACCCUAAAUAGCAGAGUGUCAGGUUGUAUUCUGACUGUGUCAGUGGUGUUUUCU